Molecule: long non-coding RNA, 1399 nt
Filed under: Pogona vitticeps (central bearded dragon)
Lineage: Eukaryota; Metazoa; Chordata; Lepidosauria; Squamata; Agamidae
Description: lncRNA (ENSPVIG00000021651.1)
Source: RNAcentral
UGUAAAAACUCCAACCGUCCAGAUCUGGUCAUGUUGUGAGGCAGAGAUUUUGGUCUUAAGCUCCGCCUCCCCGGCUGUUUUUAGCAUCCUUGUUUUCCUACAGAGUGCCACUAAGGGAAUGUACAAAUGGACCGGCAGCCUUUCUGUAGAACCACCCUCCAGAACGGCAGGUCCAGCCUCCCUUAGACACACCCGGCUCACCACAGCUGGUGGGCCCUGCUUUAUGACCUGUGGUUACCUAGGCAUUCAUAAGGGAGGAAGUGACAGCUAAUGAUACUAAACCUUUCUGGGCCUAAGUAGGGGAGAGGACAGGUUGGUGGGCUCCAUUAGAGCUUCCCGGGCACUGGUUCCUUAGAAAAUCAAGGGGGGGCUGGGUUGAAAGAACAUCUCCCAGGAUGUCCACGACCUUACCACCUCCAAGGGAGCCAGAAGCAUCAUACCAGCACCUCCUUGAAUCUGGGACCUCUUUUGGAUAUGGGAGGUCUUGGCCAGUUUUGCUUCUGGCAGGUCACAUCCUCAUCUCUUCUUGCUUGCUGCUGACGGAAGCUGACAGCAUUAAUAUCUCUGUCAUGCCGGAUCCAUGGUUACCUCUGGAAGGAACGGAAGUCAAAAUCAUUCCAGAAGGAAACAUAGAAGAUGUUUUUGCCUGCUGCUGGUUCCGAAGGGAAAUGUCCAACCACAGUCUCAUCUUCAUCUAUGAACUGCCACCAGAGUCCAAAUACCAUUAUGGAAAAUUUUAUACCGGGCGUGAGACUAUAGGAUUGCAGUGCUCCCUCCACAUCACUGGUCUAACGAUGGAGGAUGAGGACUUAUACCUACUCCACAAGCAAAGAUAUGAGGAGUUUCCAUCUGAAUAUGGGGACACAUUCUUAAUGAUCAGACAUAAAGUAGAAGAAGAAGAAGAAGAAGAUCAUCAUGCAACAUCAAAUAAAGUCGAGGCAUCUGACGUGAUUAAACUAAUUCUUAUUGUCGGCUGUCUGGUAGGACUUGCUGUGCUGGUUGGGUUUAUUGCUUACCACACUAGCACACGUUCUGCAGGAAGUAGUGAUAUAUUACCGGGAGGUCCCAUUCGGUAUAUCAGAGCUGGUUCAGGAGCUGGAUAAGCACCCAGUAUUCUGUAGGAGAGCGAGUGAGCAGACAGUCAGAAGACCAGGGAUAGGCUGGUCUAAGUAAGUACGAGUUUGGGAAGAUGGGGAAAGAAGCAUCAAACAAAUCCACAGACCAUCUACAUGACCAGCUCCAGAUGCCCUCUACAUGGAGAUCACGACAAAAUAAUCACAGACAUUCUCAUGGCUUCAAAGCACCAACGGGGAAACUUACCCAGAACCCCAGGAGACAAAUGGAUCAUCCUGUCUGCUAACAAAAUAAAAGUUUCCAGUGCCCACUUCUAGCUGUAUUC